Molecule: ribosomal RNA, 2496 nt
Filed under: Triticum aestivum (bread wheat)
Lineage: Eukaryota; Viridiplantae; Streptophyta; Magnoliopsida; Poales; Poaceae
Description: partial small subunit ribosomal RNA
Source: RNAcentral
AUGGACAAUUCAACUUUCUGUGUUUACGAAAGAGGUAGUCUCAGUCACAAGUUUUUUCUACAGGCAGAGGCUAGAGAAAUUGCUCGAUCUAUGGGAAAUCUUGCCAUCACCCCUGAAAUAGUGGCCGAGUGCUGCAUGUAUCUGUUGUCAUUAAUCUCUCGGGGUAGCGACAUUAUUGACUAUAAGUGGGCUACCCAUGCUACCAAAUAUUGGGUCUGCGAUGGCAUUGUACAAGGAGGUCAUGAUGAUGAAGCAUGGGAUGUUGGUACUGCUUUGCAUCAAUGGAUCAGAUUAGAGGACUGCUCAUUUGAUAUAUUGGAAGAUUUUACUGAUAGUUUGGACGCCCAGAAACGUUGGAUGGUAAUGGUUGUCACCUCCACUAGUAUGGAAGAAAUAAAAAGGAUCGAGGCGGUGACUAUUCCUCCAGAGUCAACGUCGUUUUUCCUUGCAGUCCAAAGGGGAUCCAAUCCUCCAUUACCAUCAUUACCUGAUGGCAUGUUUCAUCAAUCGGAAAAUCUUCGUGUGCUCAGAUUAUGCAACUGCUCCUUCAAUUUUUCUUCACCUCCUUUCCGCUGUUGUCGAAGCUUAAGCUUCCUUGGAUUGGACAGCUGCAAGAAUCAACAAAAAGAAGAACCCGUGAAGCAAAGGAAACCAACUAUGGAAUUUUUUCACAGCCUAUGGGUGCUAGAUAUAUAUGACACAACCUGGGAACUGGCUCUGCCACAAGAGACAAUAGAGCAAAUGGCUGCAAACAUGAGGGAGGUACAUGUGAAGAAGGGAAGGAUUUGGUGCCGUAAUUUUUCAUGGCGACAACUACAGAACCUCCGCAAGCUUCGAAUAAUUGAACCUACAUGCUCUUGGGAAACAGAUGAACUGGAUGAAUUCACAAAUAUGGUAAAGUUGGAGCUCCUCGAUCUAUCUGGGAAUAGUACAAUGCAAGUUUUGCCACGAGUAUCAGAGACAGUUGGUCUGAAGACUCUGAUUCUAGAUGGCUGUGUUCAGUUGGAGCAUGUUGGGCCUGAAGGACUCCCUCCUUCAAUUGAAUCAUUUAGCUUAAGUUUUAGUUCAAUCCAAGAAGCAAAAGUCUCCAAGAUCUCUUUGGUUGGUUGUGUGCAUUUGGAGAACUUCACAUUGCAUGGAGAAUUGCCGUGCCUUGAGGAGCUAGACCUAUCAAACACCUUAAUCAGGAAACUUGACUUGAGCAGUGAGGUGGUGCAGGUGCCUGAACUAGAGCGGCUCUUUCUGAUAGGCUGUGAAAACCUCCACGCAAUACUAUGGUGGAGCGUCAAAAGAAGGUUGAAAAUGCUACGCAUCAGCAAUCAAGGAAAGGGCGCCAUCAGGCCACAUGAUUCUUCACUUAUCUGCUGUGUUAACAGAAAAUAUGACGGUGAAGUUUAUGUUAGAGAUGCAAGGUUCAUCCUGUCGUUGGUGCUCGGUUUGUGGGAAGACAAUUCCAGGUUUUUGAUUACUGAUAGCCUAUACUUGAAUCUGUAUGGGUCUUUGGAGAUCAAAGCUGAAGGGAGAAGCAUUAAUAACGUGGGGAUUGAGACCCACAAUGGGCAGGUAGUUCGGCCAGUCCGAAGCCCCAUCAGAUGCUGCUACCAUGAUAUUGUAGUCGAUUCUUAUGAGGUCCCACAGCCACUGCUUGUACCCCUGCACCGUCAUGUCGAGAUUGGUGAUGGAAUUAACCUCACUGAUGUGGAUUCCGAUUGGGGAGUCAUAGCUAUUUUUCAAUUGAUAUGCCGGGCUCACUCAUUGCGCGUCCAUGACAAUUUUUCCAUGCUUGCUAUUGCCCCCAAACAAGAUUUUGUUGUCCUUAUAGGUGAACCUGCUCGUUUUGAUUUGAGAUGGUGCCAUGUCGACAAGUGUCCUAAGUUACAGGCAAUUUUUGUCCCUUAUAUCAAGGAGGUCAAUUGUUCCUUUCCUCACUUGGAGACCAUCUGGGUGACCGAUCUCCGAACGGCUGGCUGCAUUUGGAGCCAAGGAAUAAUGUGGGCAGUUCAGCAAGAAUUUGUCUUUGGACAACUGCGGAGCAUACACUUGCACAACUGCCCGAGGCUCAAGUAUGUCCUCCCAAUCUCAUCAUUCAUCUUACCCAGCCUGGAGACCAUCAAAAUAGUCGGCUGUGGUAAUCUCAGGCAGAUCUUCCCAUGGGACGUGAAUUAUGACGCUGGAAGAGAAGACACGGUGAAGAACUUUCCACAGCUAAAGCACAUCUACCUGCAUCAACCCCACAAUCUGGAGGUAAUAUGUGAAGACAAGAUGUUUGCUCCAAAGCUUGAGACCAUCAGGAUAAGGGACUCUUGGGGCCUUAGGCGCCUCCCGGCGGUGGGCCUUCGCCGUGGAGUCAGUCUUCCUGUUGUGGACUGUGAGAAGGACUUGUGGGAUAACCUAGAGUGGGACGGGCUGGAGGCCGGUCACCACCCGUCACUCUUUAAGACACACCACUCACAGUACUACAAGAAGGCCCUUCCUCGAGUCUCGGUCCUCCGUUGA